Molecule: long non-coding RNA, 484 nt
Filed under: Brassica napus (rape)
Lineage: Eukaryota; Viridiplantae; Streptophyta; Magnoliopsida; Brassicales; Brassicaceae
Description: long non-coding RNA (BNAP_LNC011483)
Source: RNAcentral
ACACGUGGACAACUGCGUAUUCAGUUGUGUCAUAGUACCACACGUGGGUAGCAGGACUUGAUGGUCGUUUACUAAGUGUUCAAGAUGGAGCAUUCAAACAAAAACCUUGAGUACAAAGUUGUACACGUGUACAAGGAUUGAUGUAGGUAACAGCUGUGGGGCAUAUGGUGUACAGGUGGACAACGCGGAAUGUAACCUGUAAAACCAUUAUCGUGUACACAUGUACAUGCAGUGAAAGCGUAGUACAUUUGAUGUUUCCUAAACCGCAAAUCGAUUAAAGUAGCUGGGCUGACAUAAGAGCCAUUACAUGUUUAAUAAAGUUAUUACACGUUAAAACGCCCUAAACAGACAAAAAACAAAACGACGGGGGAGGGGAUGGGUGAAUUCUCUAUCCAAAAGAAAAGACUCGUGGAUAUAGGAUUCACCACAUUCAGAUUGGGACAAUGCAGUUGGUCCUGUUGUGACCAGUGCCCCGCAUCAGCCG